Mauremys reevesii (Reeves's turtle) is the source of this 5785-nucleotide RNA transcript. It is a transcript of the gene named complement receptor type 1-like, with no coding region annotated. The transcript has 32 exons. NCBI's taxonomy places the organism in Eukaryota, Metazoa, Chordata, Testudines, Geoemydidae. The record is from RefSeq and is a predicted model, not a curated record.
GGGCUGCAGCAAACGCUCCGCAGCCUGCGCCCCGCGAGUGACCUGCUGCUGCCAUGGUCUCGGCUCCGCGCUGCCCGCCCGGCGCCCGGGGGCUCCUGGCGCUGCUGCUGCUGCUGCUGCCCCUGCCCGGGGCUCGCGGUCAGUGUGGGGCCCCUCCAAGGCUCAGUCGUGCCAUCCCCUAUGAUACCAGUCGCACAGAGGGCUUCCCUAUCGGCACAGAAGUGACCUACAGGUGCCUUGAUGGCUUUGUUAAAAUCCCUGGAAAGUCAGACACUGUCGUUUGCCUUUCAAACUCAGAGUGGUCAGCCAUUGGAGAGUUUUGUAGUGGUGGCUGUGGUGCCCCACCAAGGUUAAAAUCUGCUACCUUAAGCAAGAAAGAUGGGCAGAAGAAUUACUCUCCUUCUGGGAGCACUGUGAGUUAUGUCUGUCGCCCAGGAUAUGAGAGCACCCAAGUGAAACCUGUCAUUACUUGUCUUGAGAAUUUAAGAUGGUCAGAAGCCCCUGAGAUCUGUAGAGGGAAAUCGUGUGGUGUUCCAAAAGGACCAGAGCAUGGCAGAGCUGUUGUUCUAACCAAUGACCUGUAUGGUGCAAGAGCAAAUGUCAUUUGUGAUGAAGGGUUCAGAUUACAUGGACGGACUUUCAUCCAAUGUUUGCUGAAGGGAGAUCAAGUUGAAUGGAGUCAACUUCCAACUUGUCAAGUGGUUACUUGUUCUCCUCCUCCUAAUGUUACCAAUGGGAUGCACAAUGGCAGCAACGUGGAAAUCUUUGUCUAUAACUCAUCAGUAACUUACAAAUGUGACCAGGGCUUCUCUCUUAUUGGAGAGGCUUCCAUUCAGUGUACAACUAAAUAUAACAUCAAUGGAGUCUGGAAUGGGUCUGCCCCUGAAUGCAAAGCAAUACCUUGUCCUCCACCUCCUGAUAUCACCCAUGGAUCCCUUACUGGUCAGAGUGAACAAGAGUUUUCCUUUGGCUCAGCGGUAACUUACAAAUGUGACCAGGGCUUCUCUCUUAUUGGAGAGGCCUCGAUUCAUUGUACAACGAAAGAUAAUGUCAAUGGAGAGUGGAGUGGGCCUGCCCCUGAAUGCAAAGGUCAGUGUGGGGCCCCGCCAAGCCUCAGUCGUGCCAGCCCCCAUGAUACCAGUUGCACAGAGGGCUGCCCUAUCGGCACAGAAGUGACCUACAGGUGCCUUAAUGGCUUUGUUAAAAUCCCUGGAAAGUCAGACACUGUUGUUUGCCUUUCAAACUCAGAGUGGUCAACCUUUGGAGAGUUUUGUAAUGGUAGCUGUGGUGCCCCACCAAGGUUAAAAUCUGCUACCUUAAGCAAGGAAGAUGGGCAGAAGAAUUACUGUCCUCCUGGGAGCACUGUGAGUUAUGUCUGUCGCCCAGGAUAUGAGAGCACCGAAGUGAAACCUGUCAUUACUUGUCUUGAGAAUUUAACAUGGUCAGAAGCCCCUGAGUUCUGUAGAGCGAAAUCGUGUGGCGUUCCAAAAGGACCAGAGCAUGGCAGAGCUGUUGUUCUAACCAAUGACCUGUACGGUGCAAGAGCAAACAUCAUUUGUGAUGACAGGUUCAGAUUAUGUGGACGGCCUUUCAUCCAAUGUUUGCUGAAGGGAGAUCAAGUUGAAUGGAGUCAACUUCCAACUUGUCAAGCGGUUACUUGUUCUCCUCCUCCUAAUAUUGCCAAUGGGACGCACAAUGGCAGCAACGUGGAAAUCUUUGUCUGUAACUCAUCAGUAACUUACAAAUGUGACCAUAAUUUCUUACUUACUGGAGAGGCCUCCAUUCAGUGUACAACUAAAGAUAACAUCAAUGGAGUCUGGAAUGGGUCUGCCCCUGAAUGCAAAGGCACUUGUGAUUCUCCUCCAAGAUUGAGUUUUGCUGAGCUGCCUGGGGUAGUGAACAAUUCCUAUCCUGUUGGGACCGAACUGAAAUACUCCUGUCGCCCAGGAUACGUUUUGGGCUCUGGAAAGUCUCCUUUAGUUGUAUGUCUUGCAAAUUCAACAUGGUCAGUAGACCCUGAGUUUUGUGUAGGAAUACCAUGUAAACAACUAGAACUAGAAAAUGGCAGGGUUCAUUUAAAGGAUCGCCAGGUUGGUGCAACAGCAAACUUCUCCUGUGAUGAAGGGUACAGAUUAAUUGGAACGACUUCUACCCAAUGUGUGGUUGCGGAAAAUGGAGUUAAUUGGGAUAAGGAGCUUCCACAUUGCCAAGCAAUACCUUGUCCUCCACCUCCUGAUAUCACCCAUGGAUCCCAUACUGGUCAGAGUGAACAAGAGUUUUCCUUUGGCUCAGUGGUAACUUACAAAUGUGACCAGGGCUUCUCUCUUAUUGGAGAGGCCUCCAUUCAUUGUACAACGAAAGAUCACGUCAAUGGAGAGUGGAGUGGGCCUGCCCCUGAAUGCAAAGCAAUACCUUGUCUUCCACCUCCUGAUAUCACCAGUGGAUCCCAUACUGGUCAGAGUGAACAAGAGUUUUCCUUUGGCUCAGCGGUAACUUACAAAUGUGACCAGGGCUUCUCUCUUAUUGGAGAGGCCUCCAUUCAUUGUACAACGAAAGAUAACAUCAAUGGAGAGUGGAGUGGCCCUGCCCCUGAAUGCAAAGGCAUUUGUGAUUCUCCUCCAAGAUUGAGUUUUGCUGAGCUGCCUGCGACAGUGAACGAUUCCUACCCUGUUGGGACCAAACUGAAAUACUCCUGUCGCCCAGGAUACGUUUUGGGCUCUGGAAAGUCUCCUUUAGUUGUAUGUCUUGCAAAUUCAACAUGGUCAGUAGACCCUGAGUUUUGUGUUGGAAGACUGUGUAAACAACUAGAACUAGAAAAUGGCAGGGUUGAUUUAACCGAUCUCCGGUUUGGUGCAACAGCAAACUUCUCGUGUGAUGAAGGGUACAGAUUAAUUGGAACGAUUUCUGCCCAAUGUGUGGUUGUGGGAAAUGGAGUUAAUUGGGAUAAGAGGCUUCCACAUUGCCAAGCAAUACCUUGUCUUCCACCUCCUGAUAUUGCCAAUGGAUCCCAUAUUGGUCAGAGUGAACAAGAGUUUUCCUUUGGCUCAGCAGUAACUUACAAAUGUGACCAGGGCUUCUCUCUUAUUGGAGAGGCCUCCAUUCAUUGUACAACAAAAGAUAACGUCAAUGGAGAGUGGAGUGGGCCUGCCCCUGAAUGCAAAGCAAUACCUUGUCCUCCACCUCCUGAUAUCACCCAUGGAUCCCUUACUGGUCAGAGUGAACAAGAGUUUUCCUUUGGCUCAGUGGUAACUUACAAAUGUGACGAGGGCUUCUCUCUUAUUGGAAAGGCUUCCAUUCAUUGUACAACGAAAGAUAAUGUCAAUGGAGAGUGGAGUGGGCCUGCCCCUGAAUGCAAAGCUAGCUGUGGUGCCCCACCAAGGUUAAAAUCUGCUACCUUAAGCGAGGAAGAUGGGCAGAAGAAUUACUCUCCUCCUGGGAGCACUGUGAGUUAUUUAUGUCGCCCAGGAUAUGAGAGCACCGAAGUGAAACCUGUCAUUACUUGUCUUGAGAAUUUAACAUGGUCAGAAGCCCCUGAGUUCUGUAGAGUCACAAUCACCCAGGACAAACCCACAGCUGUCCCUCCCGAAGGAACAGAAGUAGCUGGUACUUCCUCAGUCACAAUCACCCAGGACAAACCCACAGCUGUCCCUCCCGAAGGAACAGAAGUAGCUGGUACUUCCUCAGUCACAAUCACCCAGGACAAACCCACAGCUGUCCCUCCCGAAGGAACAGAAGUAGCUGGUACUUCCUCAGGUUCUGACCGGAACACAGCUGGCAACUCUGCUGAGCCUGAAGGUGGAGUCAUAAUUACCCAGGAUAAACCCACAACUGUCCCUCCCAAAGGAGCAAAAGUAUCUGGUACUUCCUCAGAGCUUGGCUUUUAUACACGCAUCAGCAUUCCCAGCAUCUGCAUCACCUUCGCCAUUGUUCUUACAGUGUAAAUCCGGAUUCCACAAAGUAUCAAAUUACAACAUAAUUUCAAGAGACGGCAGGUCAAAGAAAUGCAUCUUUCCCUUGGGGUGGAAGUUGAUAAGGUUUGUGUCAUUUCUGGGGAUGUUCCUUGCACAGUCUCAGCCCGGCCCCAGAGAAAGUUACGUCUCCCAUGCAAAGGAGCUUGAUAUUUAUUGUAGAGAGGAGCAUAGUUGUCCUGGGGCCUUAGGCAGUGCUGUAGAUAUCCUGGGCUCAGGCCAUGGAGUGCCUUGAAGAUAAGGACGGAAACCUUGACUGUGAUCCAGUAUUCUAUGGGAAAGCAGUACUGGGGUGAUGGAACUAGAGGGCCAGUGGGGGCUCGCACCUCUGCAGUGGAAAUAUUGCAGGGGCUGAUCUAUGACCUCCCCCUCUCCAGACAAUACUUCCUCAGUGCCUGGGGAGAGUGUGAAAUAUGGCAGCCCAGGCUUUGCUCUUCCUGUGUCCCCGCCCACUGGGCAGAAGACGUACCUGGAGGCAGGGAAUGGAACUGGGCUGGGUGAAGCCACAUCAUUGUGAAUGAUGCCGGCAUUUCCUCUCAAAGCAGGAGACUGGGAGCUGGGCGAGCAGUUGCUCAGGAUGCCCAGGGUAGGGAAUCAGGACCAGGGACACUGCCCUGACCAUUUCCUAAGCCUGCCAUGCCAAGUAUAAAUGACUGAUGCUGGCUGCUGGCUACGGCUUACAAAUUAAUAGACAUUGGAAGAAAAUCAUGGAAAAGUUAGGAGAUAAAUGUCAUACAUUUGUACUGAAAUUUGUGUAGUGAAAAUGGAACCCGCUCAAGUAACUGCUGUUACUUUCAGUACAACUUCUUUCCUCUGUUGAGCUGGACUUGUAGUAGGAAUCCACUGCGUUUGAGUAAAGCAUAAAGACCGGAGGUGGAUCAUUGCUCUUGCUCUUGAAAAUGGCUUCUGAAGCAAGCAAGGCAGUUGGCAGCAUGAAAAUUACUUGCUCUUCUGAACAUGCACCUGGUUCCUUAUUUGGCCUCUCCAUGGUGCUAAACGUUUCCCCUUAAAGAACAUAGUCACCAUCAGAGCAUGGCAUGGUUUGGAUUGUGAGUUGUGGCUUUAACGGUAGACAGUAAGAGAGACUCUUCAGAUCCCUACUUACAAGCUUCCAUCAUGGAGUGCGUAUUACUCUUUAAACACAAAUGUAAAGAUGCCAGACACUAGGUGGAAUGUCAUAGAUUCUUCAUAAAAACAUCCAUUCUGGGUCAGACCAAUGGUCCAUCUAGCCAGGUGCUUUAAAGGGAAUGAACAGAACAGGACAGUUAUCAAGUGACCCAUCAUCCCCUGUCAGCCAGUCCCAGCUUCUGGCAAUCAGAGUAGAGACUCUGAGAGCAUGGGGUUGUAUCCCUAGCCAUCUUGGCUAUCCUCCAUGAACUUAUCUCAUUCUUUUUUGAACCCAGUUAUAGUUUUGGCUUUCAUGUGACCUUUCUUAAAAAAAAAAUCUGUAGAUGAAGAGUACAUUUGAAGUGAUACUACAGAAAAAAAGCCAACUUUUGUUACCUGCUCCACAAUGUGUAUUCUUACCACAAGCUUGAUAUAUAGAUGUGAUAUAGUGUGUCUCCCCUAAGAGAAAAUUAAAAGUAAUGUGAAUUUACAUAUGGUUCGAAAGAUGCUCAGAAUACUCACUACUGAAUUGCUAAAAAUUCUCUCAAUAUGAGAAUAAGAAAUAACAUUUGUUUCCUUGCAAUCCACUAGCACUUUCUUAUAAGAAGUAAGCAGUAAGAUCGAAAGUGUCCUCCUGAGAAGUUCCCCAGUGGUUUAGUGCCUACAACCUUUUUAUAUGUUAGUUGUCAAAACUAUCUUUGUAGAUCUUA